UACGUAGGGGGCUAGCGUUGUCCGGAAUUAUUGGGCGUAAAGAGCUCGUAGGCGGUCUGUCGCGUCUGUUGUGAAAACUCGAGGCUCAACCUCGGGCUUGCAGUGGAUACGGGCAGACUAGAGUGCGGUAGGGGAGACUGGAAUUCCUGGUGUAGCGGUGGAAUGCGCAGAUAUCAGGAGGAACACCAAUGGCGAAGGCAGCACUCUGGGACGGUACUGACGCUGAGACGCGAAACGUGGGGAGCAAACAGG
This 252-nucleotide ribosomal RNA is filed under the name uncultured bacterium. RNAcentral's name for it is "partial 16S ribosomal RNA". It matches the Rfam family "Bacterial small subunit ribosomal RNA", at positions 524 to 776 of the family's 1533-position model. The record is from RNAcentral.